AGAGUUUGAUCAUGGCUCAGAGCGAACGCUGGCGGCAGGCCUAAUACAUGCAAGUCGAGCGCACCUUCGGGUGAGCGGCGGACGGGUGAGUAACGCGUGGGAAUAUGCCCUUUGGUACGGAACAACUGAGGGAAACUUCAGCUAAUACCGUAUGUGCCCUACGGGGGAAAGAUUUAUCGCCAUUGGAGUAGCCCGCGUUGGAUUAGCUAGUUGGUAGGGUAAAGGCCUACCAAGGCUACGAUCCAUAGCUGGUCUGAGAGGAUGAUCAGCCACACUGGGACUGAGACACGGCCCAGACUCCUACGGGAGGCAGCAGUAGGGAAUCUUGCGCAAUGGGCGAAAGCCUGACGCAGCCAUGCCGCGUGAAUGAUGAAGGUCUUAGGAUUGUAAAAUUCUUUCACCGGGGAAGAUAAUGACGGUACCCGGAGAAGAAGCCCCGGCUAACUUCGUGCCAGCAGCCGCGGUAAUACGAAGGGGGCUAGCGUUGCUCGGAAUUACUGGGCGUAAAGGGCGCGUAGGCGGACAGCUUAGUCAGAGGUGAAAGCCCAGGGCUCAACCUUGGAAUAGCCUUUGAUACUGGCUGUCUUGAGUUCGGGAGAGGUGAGUGGAAUGCCGAGUGUAGAGGUGAAAUUCGUAGAUAUUCGGCGGAACACCAGUGGCGAAGGCGACUCACUGGCCCGAUACUGACGCUGAGGCGCGAAAGCGUGGGGAGCAAACAGGAUUAGAUACCCUAGUAGUCC
This 740-nucleotide ribosomal RNA is filed under the name uncultured bacterium. RNAcentral describes it as "bacterial SSU rRNA". It matches the Rfam family "Bacterial small subunit ribosomal RNA", at positions 8 to 796 of the family's 1533-position model. The record is from RNAcentral.